ACGAGGCUUUUUAAGAAGCUUGCUUCUUGAAAGACCGAGUGGCAAACGGGUGAGUAACGCGUAAACAACCUGCCCUCAGGAUGGGGACAACAGCUGGAAACGGCUGCUAAUACCGAAUACGAUCAAUCGGCCGCAUGGCCGGAUGAUGAAAGGAUGGCCUCUAUAUAUAAGCUAUCGCCGGAGGAGGGGUUUGCGUCUGAUUAGCUAGUUGGAGGGGUAACGGCCCACCAAGGCGACGAUCAGUAGCCGGUCUGAGAGGACGAACGGCCACAUUGGAACUGAGACACGGUCCAGACUCCUACGGGAGGCAGCAGUGGGGAAUCUUCCGCAAUGGGCGAAAGCCUGACGGAGCAACGCCGCGUGAGUGAAGACGGCCUUCGGGUUGUAAAGCUCUGUUAUAUGGGACGAACGUAUUUAUGGUCAAUACCCAUAGAUAGUGACGGUACCGUAAGAGAAAGCCACGGCUAACUACGUGCCAGCAGCCGCGGUAAUACGUAGGUGGCAAGCGUUGUCCGGAAUUAUUGGGCGUAAAGGGCGCGCAGGCGGCCUGUCAAGUCUGUCUUAAAAGUGCGGGGCUCAACCCCGUGAUGGGACGGAAACUGGCAGGCUGGAGUGUCGGAGAGGAAAGCAGAAUUCCUAGUGUAGCGGUGAAAUGCGUAGAUAUUAGGAGGAAUACCAGUGGCGAAAGCGGCUUUCUGGACGACAACUGACGCUGAGGCGCGAAAGCCAGG
RNAcentral lists this ribosomal RNA (731 nucleotides) under uncultured Megasphaera sp. Its description in RNAcentral is "bacterial SSU rRNA". It matches the Rfam family "Bacterial small subunit ribosomal RNA", at positions 66 to 764 of the family's 1533-position model. Lineage: Bacteria; Bacillati; Bacillota; Negativicutes; Veillonellales; Veillonellaceae. The record is from RNAcentral.